AUCUAAUUGUUUUUCAAAAACAUAUUUAUCUAUUAGGUUCUUAAAAAUAUAAUAAUAAAAUGCAAAAAUAUUUAAAACAAAUAUUAAGGGGAUUGGAAGCGACAAGUUUCUGUCUUUGUCUUACAUACGUGAGUUAUAUGGAUUUAUACAUAUUUUAUUUCAAACGUACCGAUUGAUCUAGUGAAGUGAUAAGAAGUCUGAAAGCGAAUUUAAAAUUGCCGUGAAGUCUACUUGAGAUCGACUUUCCACUUUUUUAAUUUUUGAUUUUUGAUUUUAAUUUCUCAACAAAUUAAAAUAUUCUAUUUUUUUCAAUAUUACUCUUUUGUUUGUGUGGCUUUUUUUUAAAAUUUAAGGAGGUUAAUUUAAAAAAUGGGAAAGUCGAUCUCAAUAGACUUUACGACAAAUUCAAAUCUGCUUUCAGAAUUUUAAUGGCUUCACUAGAUCAAUAGAUACGUUGGAAAUAAAACAUGUUUAAAUACGUAUAUCUCACGUGUGUAAGAAAAAGACAGAAACUCGUCGCUUCCAAUCCCCUUUAAUUAAAGGCGGUCUAUUUUAUCAACA
Molecule: non-coding RNA, 561 nt
Organism: Cinara cedri
Lineage: Eukaryota; Metazoa; Arthropoda; Insecta; Hemiptera; Aphididae
Source: the annotation of a GenBank genome assembly